RNAcentral lists this ribosomal RNA (113 nucleotides) under Candidatus Woesearchaeota archaeon. Lineage: Archaea; Nanobdellati; Candidatus Woesearchaeota. The record is from RNAcentral.
UCAGACGGCCAUAGGGGAUGGGAUCCACCCAGAUCCAUUCGAACCUGGAAGUUAAACCAUCUUCCGUACCUGCCUGUACUUCGUUUCGAGGGAACGCAGGUAAGCUGUCAACC